RNAcentral lists this ribosomal RNA (914 nucleotides) under Candidatus Phytoplasma asteris-related phytoplasma. RNAcentral's name for it is "bacterial SSU rRNA". It matches the Rfam family "Bacterial small subunit ribosomal RNA", at positions 218 to 1142 of the family's 1533-position model. Lineage: Bacteria; Bacillati; Mycoplasmatota; Mollicutes; Acholeplasmatales; Acholeplasmataceae. The record is from RNAcentral.
CUUAGGGAGGAGCUUGCGUCACAUUAGUUAGUUGGUGGGGUAAAGGCCUACCAAGACUAUGAUGUGUAGCCGGGCUGAGAGGUUGAACGGCCACAUUGGGACUGAGACACGGCCCAAACUCCUACGGGAGGCAGCAGUAGGGAAUUUUCGGCAAUGGAGGAAACUCUGACCGAGCAACGCCGCGUGAACGAUGAAGUAUUUCGGUACGUAAAGUUCUUUUAUUAGGGAAGAAUAAAUGAUGGAAAAAUCAUUCUGACGGUACCUAAUGAAUAAGCCCCGGCUAACUAUGUGCCAGCAGCCGCGGUAAUACAUAGGGGGCAAGCGUUAUCCGGAAUUAUUGGGCGUAAAGGGUGCGUAGGCGGUUAAAUAAGUUUAUGGUCUAAGUGCAAUGCUCAACAUUGUGAUGCUAUAAAAACUGUUUAGCUAGAGUAAGAUAGAGGCAAGUGGAAUUCCAUGUGUAGUGGUAAAAUGCGUAAAUAUAUGGAGGAACACCAGUAGCGAAGGCGGCUUGCUGGGUCUUUACUGACGCUGAGGCACGAAAGCGUGGGGAGCAAACAGGAUUAGAUACCCUGGUAGUCCACGCCGUAAACGAUGAGUACUAAACGUUGGGUAAAACCAGUGUUGAAGUUAACACAUUAAGUACUCCGCCUGAGUAGUACGUACGCAAGUAUGAAACUUNNNGAAUUGACGGGACUCCGCACAAGCGGUGGAUCAUGUUGUUUAAUUCGAAGGUACCCGAAAAACCUCACCAGGUCUUGACAUGCUUCUGCAAAACUGUAGAAACACAGUGGAGGUUAUCAGUUGCACAGGUGGNGCAUGGUUGUCGUCAGCUCGUGUCGUGAGAUGUUGGGUUAAGUCCCGCAACGAGCGCAACCCUUAUUGUUAGUUACCAGCACGUAAUGGUGGGGACUUUA